GGCCUCGUGGUGAUUCACGCCAAAGUGCAAAUUUGGAGCCACACCCCAGGGGGUGUCGGGGCCU
RNAcentral lists this transfer RNA (64 nucleotides) under Quedenfeldtia trachyblepharus (Atlas day gecko). Its description in RNAcentral is "tRNA-Cys". Lineage: Eukaryota; Metazoa; Chordata; Lepidosauria; Squamata; Sphaerodactylidae. The record is from RNAcentral.